GUGACCCACUAGCCACAGCCGGCCGACCCUGCUCCAGUACAAUCCCUUCUUUUUAUAGCUUCAGAAGUUGAGACCAAGGAGAGGAAAAGGCAGUCAAGCCCCCCAAGUACUCACUGCUGGGCACGAGUUUCUGUUACACGGAGCCUCAGAAAAUGAACAAUAAAAACGACUUCAGCCGUGAUUGUACUCAAGUAUGGAGCAGUAAAGAAAAGCAAGGUCAAGUAUGGAAAGCCAAGCAUAUAUUCUAACCAGACCCUCUCAGCCAAAGAAGAUUCCAUUCCCAGCUGGAAAUGCUGUCUCGGAGCAGGAAUGAAGAGCCUCUCUCAUUGGAAUUGCCCAUGAGGACAAAUGCACCCCCCAC
This 361-nucleotide long non-coding RNA is filed under the name Homo sapiens (human). The record is from RNAcentral. Lineage: Eukaryota; Metazoa; Chordata; Mammalia; Primates; Hominidae.